Long non-coding RNA from Bubalus bubalis (water buffalo), 701 nucleotides. RefSeq lists it as uncharacterized. The record is from RefSeq and is a predicted model, not a curated record. Lineage: Eukaryota; Metazoa; Chordata; Mammalia; Artiodactyla; Bovidae. The transcript has 2 exons.
GGGGAGGCCUCAGUGUCUCCUCUCCUUCGGGAGAAUGGAAGGACGCCUGCGGCCUACGUAGAUCCUUAGCUGCAGAGCCACGGGGAAGCCCUAAAUGGAUGACUGUUGCUGUUAAGUCUCUAAGUCAUGUCUAACUCUCCCUGACCAUAUGGACUGCAGCAUGCCAGGCUUCUCUGUCCUUCAUCGGAGUGGGUUGCCAUUUCCUUCUCCAGGGGAUCUUCCCAACCCAAGGAUUGAAACCAGGUCUCUGGCCUAGCAGGAAGAUUUUUUUACCAUCUGAGCCACCACGGAAGCCCCUCUUUUAAUAUGUUAAAUCUUUUAACAUGCCAAAUGUGUGUCAUUUGUAACUGUACUAACGAUGAAUACUUUUAUCUUCUGGUACAAAACAUGUGAUGGAACACAUACUUUUCAGAGCCAUUUGGAGUUUUUGGUGUGUGAAACACACAAUCAUGGUUCUCUUUUUGCUUGUGUUUCUAUUAAGGUGUCUGUGUUUUUACCAUUGUUUUUGUUCCACAUUUUUUGGGUGCAAAAUCCAGAAACAAUACCAUUGAUUUAAAGAAGUUCUUUUGUAUAUCCACUGUAUAUACAUUCUUUUUGGUUACAUGAUAUUUUCUCCAAAUUUGGUACUUGUCUGUUCACUCACUUCAUGAUAUCCUCUGAUGCUUCAGUUCAGUCCAGUCACUCAGUCAUGUCCGACUCUG